AGUCGAGCGAGCGGAACUAAAGAUUUACUUCGGUAAUGACGUUAGGAAAGCGAGCGGCGGAUGGGUGAGUAACACGUGGGGAACCUGCCCCAUAGUCUGGGAUACCACUUGGAAACAGGUGCUAAUACCGGAUAAGAAAGCAGAUCGCAUGAUCAGCUUUUAAAAGGCGGCGUAAGCUGUCGCUAUGGGAUGGCCCCGCGGUGCAUUAGCUAGUUGGUAAGGUAAAGGCUUACCAAGGCGAUGAUGCAUAGCCGAGUUGAGAGACUGAUCGGCCACAUUGGGACUGAGACACGGCCCAAACUCCUACGGGAGGCAGCAGUAGGAAAUCUUCCACAAUGGACGCAAGUCUGAUGGAGCAACGCCGCGUGAGUGAAGAAGGUUUUCGGAUCGUAAAGCUCUGUUGUUGGUGAAGAAGGAUAGAGGUAGUAACUGGCCUUUAUUUGACGGUAAUCAACCAGAAAGUCACGGCUAACUACGUGCCAGCAGCCGCGGUAAUACGUAGGUGGCAAGCGUUGUCCGGAUUUAUUGGGCGUAAAGCGAGCGCAGGCGGAAGAAUAAGUCUGAUGUGAAAGCCCUCGGCUUAACCGAGAAACUGCAUCGGAAACUGUUUUUCUUGAGUGCAGAAGAGGAGAGUGGAACUCCAUGUGUAGCGGUGGAAUGCGUAGAUAUAUGGAAGAACACCAGUGGCGAAGGCGGCUCUCUGGUCUGCAACUGACGCUGAGGCUCGAAAGCAUGGGUAGUGAACAGGAUUAGAUACCCUGGUAGUCCAUGCCGUANACGAUGAGUGCUAAGUGUUGGGAGGUUUCCGCCUCUCAGUGCUGCAGCUAACGCAUUA
RNAcentral lists this ribosomal RNA (835 nucleotides) under uncultured bacterium. RNAcentral describes it as "bacterial SSU rRNA". It matches the Rfam family "Bacterial small subunit ribosomal RNA", at positions 60 to 862 of the family's 1533-position model. The record is from RNAcentral.